RNAcentral lists this ribosomal RNA (301 nucleotides) under uncultured bacterium. Its description in RNAcentral is "partial 16S ribosomal RNA". It matches the Rfam family "Bacterial small subunit ribosomal RNA", at positions 509 to 807 of the family's 1533-position model. The record is from RNAcentral.
CAGUCGCCACGGUAAUACGUAGGGUGCAAGCGUUAAUCGGAAUUACUGGGCGUAAAGCGUGCGUAGGCGGUUAUAUAAGUCAGAUGUGAAGUCCCCGGGCUCAACCUGGGAACUGCAUUUGAGACUGUAUGGCUAGAGUGUGUCAGAGGGGGGUAGAAUUCCACGUGUAGCAGUGAAAUGCGUAGAUAUGUGGAGGAAUACCGAUGGCGAAGGCAGCCCCCUGGGAUAACACUGACGCUCAUGCACGAAAGCGUGGGGAGCAAACAGGAUUAGAUACCCGAGUAGUCCCUGUCUCUUAUAC